AACGCACAUUGCGCCCCUUGGUAUUCCGAGGGCAUGCCCGUUCGAGCGUCAUCAACACCAUCAAGCCUGGCUUGGUAUUGGGCCCUGCCAGUAACACGGCCGGCUUUAAAAUCAGUGGCGGUGCCGCCUGGCUCUAAGCGUAGUAACUUUUCUCGCUAUUGUGCCCGGCGGUUGCCUGCCAACAACCCCCUAAUUCAAUCGGUUUGACCUCGGAUCGGGUAGGGAUACCCGCUGAACUUAA
This 241-nucleotide unclassified non-coding RNA is filed under the name Tomentella sp. Its description in RNAcentral is "partial contains 5.8S ribosomal RNA, internal transcribed spacer 2, and large subunit ribosomal RNA". The record is from RNAcentral. Lineage: Eukaryota; Fungi; Basidiomycota; Agaricomycetes; Thelephorales; Thelephoraceae.